This 440-nucleotide ribosomal RNA is filed under the name uncultured bacterium. RNAcentral's name for it is "partial 16S ribosomal RNA". It matches the Rfam family "Bacterial small subunit ribosomal RNA", at positions 338 to 795 of the family's 1533-position model. The record is from RNAcentral.
CCUACGGGUGGCAGCAGUGGGGAAUAUUGCACAAUGGGGGCAACCCUGAUGCAGCGACGCCGCGUGAGUGAAGAAGUAUUUCGGUAUGUAAAGCUCUGUCAGCAGGGAAGAAAAUGACGGUACCUGACCCAGAAGCCCCGGCUAACUACGUGCCAGCAGCCGCGGUACUACGUAGGGGGCAAGCGUUAUCCGGAUUUACUGGGUGUAAAGGGAGCGUAGACGGCAGGGCAAGUCUGGAGUGAAAGGCGGGGGCUCAACCCCCGGACUGCUCUGGAAACUGCCAGGCUGGAGUGCAGGAGAGGUAAGUGGAAUUCCUAGUGUAGCGGUGAAAUGCGUAGAUAUUAGGAGGAACACCAGUGGCGAAGGCGGCUUACUGGACUGUAACUGACGUUGAGGCUCGAAAGCGUGGGGAGCAAACAGGAUUAGAUACCCGGGUAGUC